GGUACUGGCCGAAGCCACCAGUUCCUUCCCAGAUCCACACGCAACACACACCAACGGUUGCCGAAGAAGCAUCCCCUCCACUCCACUGAACUAGGACUUGUGCCAACGAUCGGUUGUCGGCGCGGCGAAGGCGCUCCUGCAGUAUCUUAACAGGGAACUGAAGAUGAGCAUCAACAGAAGGAAGCGACUUAAGUACCUCAUGUUGUGGAUGCACACAGCGCUUCAACUGUGAAACAUGGAAUACAGGAUGAAUACGACUAGCUGCUGGCAACUGUAAGCGAUAAGCCACUUCGCCAAUCUUCUCCAGAAUCAGAAACGGACCAAAAUGCUUGAAAGCAAGUUUAUGAUUUGCCCUGUGCACCACUGAUGAUUGUACAUACGGCUGGAGUUUAAGGAAUACUCGAUCUCCCACAGCAAAUGUUCUUUCAGUGCGUUUCUUGUCAGCCUGAUGUUUCAUCCUUUGCUGAACACGCAACAAAUGCUGGCGCACUGACUGCUGAACCACUGCUCGAGCAUCCAACCACUGCUGCAAAUCAACAGGAUCAAUUGAGUUUGAAGCCGAAAUCCCAAAAUGCCGAGGACCAUGACCAUAAAGAACCUCAAAUGGAGAUUUGUUAAGUGCUGAAUGCCAGUUGGUAUUGUACCAAAACUCACAAAGAUGAUAUGAUGUGCUCAUAUUAAGCACAGCUCCUGUCCUCUUCACUAGAGCUUGCCAGAAUUUGCUGGUGAAAACUGGAUCCCUGUCAGAUACUAUAAAGAGAGGCAUGCCAUGAAGCUUAUAAAUAUUGUCCAGAAAAAGUUCAGCAACUUUCUGGGCUGUAUAUGGAUGUUUGACA
Molecule: long non-coding RNA, 836 nt
Organism: Aegilops tauschii subsp. strangulata
Lineage: Eukaryota; Viridiplantae; Streptophyta; Magnoliopsida; Poales; Poaceae
Source: RefSeq, a predicted model, not a curated record